RNAcentral lists this non-coding RNA (68 nucleotides) under unclassified sequences. The record is from RNAcentral.
CACCUAUAUUCUACUUGCCUUUACGUGGCAUAGGUGAUAAGUACCAGAAAUGGGAAACUAAAAGUAGA